UCUGGUGAUGAUGGCAGAGGGGAUACACGCGUACCCAUCCCGAACACGACCGUUAAGCCCUCUAGCGCCGAUGGUACUUGGAACGCAGGUUCUUGGGAGAGUAGGACGUUGCCAGAC
RNAcentral lists this ribosomal RNA (117 nucleotides) under Fodinisporobacter ferrooxydans. Lineage: Bacteria; Bacillati; Bacillota; Bacilli; Caryophanales; Alicyclobacillaceae. The record is from RNAcentral.